This 497-nucleotide ribosomal RNA is filed under the name uncultured bacterium. RNAcentral's name for it is "partial 16S ribosomal RNA". It matches the Rfam family "Bacterial small subunit ribosomal RNA", at positions 28 to 507 of the family's 1533-position model. The record is from RNAcentral.
GACGAACGCUGGCGGCGUGCCUAAUACAUGCAAGUUGAGCGCUGAAGGUUGGUACUUGUCCCUAUUGGCUGAGCAGCGAACGGGUGAGUAACGCGUGGGGAAUCUGCCUUUGAGCGUGGGACAACAUCUGGAAACGAAUGCUAAUACCGCAUAAAAACUUUAAACACAAGUUUUAAGUUUGAAAGAUGCAAUUGCAUCACUCAAAGAUGAUCCCACGUUGUAUUAGCUAGUUGGUGAGGUAAAGGCUCACCAAGGCGAUGAUACAUAGCCGACCUGAGAGGGUGAUCGGCCACAUAUGGAACGCGACCCGGCCCAAGAUCCUACGGGAGGCAACAGUAAGGAAGCUUCGGCAAUGGGCGAAAGUCUGACCGGGCAACGGCGGCGGAGUGAAGAAGGUUUUCCGAUCGGAAAACUUAGUUGGUAAGGAAGAACGUUAUUGAGAGGUGAAAAUUCAUCAAGUGACGGUAACUACACAGAAAGCGACGGCUAACUACGUG